AUUGAACGCUGGCGGCAUGCCUUACACAUGCAAGUCGAACGGCAGCACGGACUUCGGUCUGGUGGCGAGUGGCGAACGGGUGAGUAACAUAUCGGAACAUACCCUAGAGUGGGGGAUAACGUAGCGAAGUUACGCUAAUACCGCAUACGAUCUAAGGAUGAAAGUGGGGGAUCCUCGGACCUCAUGCUCAUGGAGUGGCCGAUAUCUGAUUAGCUAGUUGGUGAGGUAAAGGCUCACCAAGGCGACGAUCAGUAGCUGGUUUGAGAGAACGACCAGCCACACUGGAACUGAGACACGGUCCAGACUCCUACGGGAGGCAGCAGGUGGGAAUUUUGGACAAGUGGGGGGCAACCCGUGAUCAGCAAUGCCGCGUGA
This 375-nucleotide ribosomal RNA is filed under the name uncultured bacterium. Its description in RNAcentral is "bacterial SSU rRNA". It matches the Rfam family "Bacterial small subunit ribosomal RNA", at positions 30 to 404 of the family's 1533-position model. The record is from RNAcentral.